AGUGAACGCUGGCGGUAGACCUAACACAUGCAAGUCGAACGGCAGCACAGUAAGAGCUUGCUCUUACGGGUGGCGAGUGGCGGACGGGUGAGGAAUACAUCGGAAUCUACUUUUUCGUGGGGGAUAACGUAGGGAAACUUACGCUAAUACCGCAUACGACCUACGGGUGAAAGCAGUGGAUCUUCGGACCUUGCGCGAUUGAAUGAGCCGAUGUCGGAUUAGCUAGUUGGCGGGGUAAAGGCCCACCAAGGCGACGAUCCGUAGCUGGUCUGAGAGGAUGAUCAGCCACACUGGAACUGAGACACGGUCCAGACUCCUACGGGAGGCAGCAGUGGGGAAUAUUGGACAAUGGGCGCAAGCCUGAUCCAGCCAUACCGCGUGGGUGAAGAAGGCCUUCGGGUUGUAAAGCCCUUUUGUUGGGAAAGAAAAGCAGCAGGUUAAUACCCCGCUGUUCUGACGGUACCCAAAGAAUAAGCACCGGCUAACUUCGUG
Molecule: ribosomal RNA, 492 nt
Filed under: uncultured bacterium
Lineage: Bacteria
Description: partial 16S ribosomal RNA
Rfam family: Bacterial small subunit ribosomal RNA
Source: RNAcentral